Molecule: long non-coding RNA, 1461 nt
Organism: Meleagris gallopavo (turkey)
Lineage: Eukaryota; Metazoa; Chordata; Aves; Galliformes; Phasianidae
Source: RefSeq, a predicted model, not a curated record
CUGCGCGGUGCGACGGGGGCGGGGCCGGCAAGAUGGCGGCGGCGGGUGAGGACUUGUUACCUGUUGGGGUGACCUUGGUGAACUUCGGUUGCCUUGUAGGUAACUUUGUUAAAUAUUUAGCCAACUUUAUCGAAAAUACAAAUUUCCAAGUGUAGAAGCGGGAAAUGUUCCUAUUGAUCCUUUUUAUUCAGGUCUCUGUUAGUCUGAGAUAUAUAUUUUGAUUUUAUAUAUAUAUUAUAUUUUUAUAUUAUAUUAUAUAUUUUAUGUAUAUAUUAUAUAUUUUUUCCUUAAUGCCUGUAGUCUCACUGGUUGCAGUAGAAGAACUGAAGUUCCUUCUUCCCAGAAAUGUACCUACCUUUCAUUUUCAAACUUUCCCAUAUGUCUUUAAUUUUAUUAUUUAUUUUCUUUUCAGCUGCACUGUCUUUAUGGAGAAACUGAUGUUUUAGAGUUUGGCAGGAUGUCUGGAUUUAUAGCAGUCCAGACAGAACUACCUUGCAUGUUUUUGCUAUGCUGAUACAUUUCUGUCUUCUUCUACAGCGCCUGCAGAGAUCAUCUGUGUGCUGUGUUUGUACCAAAUCCAAACCUUGUGAGCUAUACUAUCUUUGACAUUCAUUGUACCAUAAUUGUUUCUGUGCAAGAUGUAUUUACUUCCUUGGGAAGCACACUGUGAAGUUACCAUCAAGAGCAAAUGAGCCACACGUUUCAUGCACAAGAAAUGUGACAGAUCUCAGUUUUGUCAGAUUUACUGCAUGUACCAAGACUAUUCAUGUGGCAGAUUUGCAGUGUAAUUGGUGCUUUUUAGAAGUACAUAUUCAUUGUCAGUCUAAAAACUUACAAAUUGACGCAUGAUGGCUUCAGCUUGGGCUUUUAGCCACUCCAAAUAUGUCAAAAACAUUCAAAGUUUUGCUUGCAGAAGGCUGGUAGUAUUGCCUUUUUGUGCAGCUGAGCAGAAUUCACUUAACAAUUGGCUGUAAAAGGCAUCACUGUUUGUGGAGGUGACAAUGAUAGGUUGAAGCCCUGUGUCUUAAACAGAACCAGGGAUAAUGUAGUACUACAAGGGUAUGGGAAUAGAAAUGGAAUAUCUUUUUGCAUUCCUGAAUUCGUUUUCAUUCCUAAAUUUUCAUUUUUGAUGUAUAUUGGUUCUCCUGAGUUGUAAAAAAUAUCCUUAAACCUGCAUUGCAAAGAUCACAUUCAGAUAACUGCUGUGGCUGUUGAAGAAUGACUGAGAUCAUGCUGAAAGAAACCUAAUUCUCCAUUUAGAAAAGAAUUCUACAAGCUUUAUUUCAGUCUUCUUAUUCAGAGAAUAAAAAAGUAAUGUUUUUCAAUAAGACUUGCUCUUUACUUCUGUAGUUUCUAGCAGAUUAUGAGAUUUUGAAGGAUUUAACAUGACCAGCACCGGUUGUUUUGUUUGUUUGUUUGUUUUUGGUAAAUAAAUGAGAUGGCUGCGAUUUUUUUGAAUUU